RNAcentral lists this ribosomal RNA (420 nucleotides) under bacterium. Its description in RNAcentral is "partial 16S ribosomal RNA". It matches the Rfam family "Bacterial small subunit ribosomal RNA", at positions 355 to 776 of the family's 1533-position model. The record is from RNAcentral.
UGGGGGAUAUUGCACAAUGGGCGAAAGCCUGAUGCAGCGACGCCGCGUGGGGGAUGAAGGCUUUCGGGUUGUAAACCUCUUUCGCUAUCGAACAAGGCCCGCUUAGGGUGGGUGGAGGGUAGGUGGAGAAGAAGCGCCGGCUAACUACGUGCCAGCAGCCGCGGUAAUACGUAGGGCGCGAGCGUUGUCCGGAAUUAUUGGGCGUAAAGGGCUUGUAGGCGGCUUGUUGCGCCUGCUGUGAAAACGCGGGGCUUAACUUCGCGCGUGCAGUGGGUACGGGCAGGCGUGAGUGUGGUAGGGGUGACUGGAAUUCCAGGUGUAGCGGUGGAAUGCGCAGAUAUCUGGAGGAACACCGAUGGCGAAGGCAGGUCACUGGGCCAUUACUGACGCUGAGGAGCGAAAGCAUGGGUAGCGAACAGG